GAUGAACGCUGGCGGCGUGCCUAAUACAUGCAAGUCGAGCGAACAGACGAGGAGCUUGCUCCUUUGACGUUAGCCGCGGACGGGUGAGUAACACGUGGAUAACCUACCUAUAAGACUGGGAUAACUUCGGGAAACCGGAGCUAAUACCGGAUAAUAUAUUGAACCGCAUGGUUCAAUAGUGAAAGACGGUUUUGCUGUCACUUAUAGAUGGAUCCGCGCCGCAUUAGCUAGUUGGUAAGGUAACGGCUUACCAAGGCAACGAUGCGUAGCCGACCUGAGAGGGUGAUCGGCCACACUGGAACUGAGACACGGUCCAGACUCCUACGGGAGGCAGCAGUAGGGAAUCUUCCGCAAUGGGCGAAAGCCUGACGGAGCAACGCCGCGUGAGUGAUGAAGGUCUUCGGAUCGUAAAACUCUGUUAUUAGGGAAGAACAAAUGUGUAAGUAACUAUGCACGUCUUGACGGUACCUAAUCAGAAAGCCACGGCUAACUACGUG
This 497-nucleotide ribosomal RNA is filed under the name uncultured bacterium. RNAcentral describes it as "partial 16S ribosomal RNA". It matches the Rfam family "Bacterial small subunit ribosomal RNA", at positions 28 to 507 of the family's 1533-position model. The record is from RNAcentral.